Molecule: transfer RNA, 72 nt
Organism: Camelus ferus (Wild Bactrian camel)
Lineage: Eukaryota; Metazoa; Chordata; Mammalia; Artiodactyla; Camelidae
Rfam family: tRNA
About the family: Transfer RNA (tRNA) molecules are approximately 80 nucleotides in length. Their secondary structure includes four short double-helical elements and three loops (D, anti-codon, and T loops).
Source: Rfam
GAAUGUAUAGCUCAGUGGUAGAGAGUAUGCUUAACAUAUACCAGGUCCUGGGUUCAAUCCCCAGUACCUCCA